Molecule: ribosomal RNA, 253 nt
Filed under: uncultured bacterium
Lineage: Bacteria
Description: partial 16S ribosomal RNA
Rfam family: Bacterial small subunit ribosomal RNA
Source: RNAcentral
UACGGGGGGGGCAAGCGUUGUCCGGAUUUAUUGGGCGUAAAGAGCGUGUAGGCGGCCAGGGAGGUCCGUUGUGAAAACUCGAGGCUCAACCUCGAGACGCCGAUGGAAACCCCCUGGCUAGAGUCCGGAAGAGGAGAGUGGAAUUCCUGGUGUAGCGGUGAAAUGCGCAGAUAUCAGGAAGAACACCCGUGGCUAAGGCGGCUCUCUAGUACGGUACUGACGCUGAGACGCGAAAGCGUGGGGAGCGAACAGG